CUCGUGUAAUGCAAGAAUGAGGAAGUCAGCAGGACCUCAGCGAGAUUCUCAAGGACGCCCGGCCCUUUACAACACGGAGCGGCUGUAUUCCGUGGUGUUCCAGGAAAUCUGUGGUCGCUACGAGAAGGACUACAGCUGGGACGUCAAGUCGCUGGUCAUGGGCAAGACGGCCCUGGAAGCGGCUCAGAUCAUCAUCGACGUCCUGCAGCUGCCCAUGUCCAAGGAGGAGCUGGUGGAGGAGAGCCAGGCCAAGCUCCAGGGGCUGUUCCCCACCGCCCAGCUCAUGCCAGUGCCUGGUCUUCGAAGACGCUCCCAACGGGGUGGAGGCGGCCCUGGCGGCCGGGAUGCAGGUGGUGAUGGUCCCCGAUGAGCGCCUGAGCCGCGACCUGACGAGCAAGGCCACCCUGGUGCUGCGCUCCCUGCAGGACCUGCAGCCCGAGCUCUUCGGCUUGCCCGCCUACGACUGAGGGCCACCGCGCUCCGGCCGCUGCAGCGGGCCUCCUGGGCCCCGCCCACGAUCGGGGUCCACCUGCGGAGGGGAGGGGCGGAGGGAGACGGCAGCCCAGGUGCAGCCAUGUCAGCCCUGAGCUGGCGUGGCCCAGUUUUGCUCCAGGUUGAUGGCCGUCCACUGGACACUUGAGAGAGGACAGAGACCGUGCAGAGCAAGGUCCAGCGUACAGCACAUGCUGCGGGCACACAUGUUCCGUGUGGUCUGCGUGCCUGCUCCCUGCUCGCCAGGCACAGGACACGACACGCGGCCAUUCCCUUAUUCUAGUUCUCAACAUGGGCAGCUGCACCGUGUCGCCCCGUGUGCUGCGUGUAUGCACUGCUGUGUGUGCAGGCGUGUCGCACGCCCUCCGCUGCACACCCUGGGCCCCCACCGACUCCUCUGCUCCGCAGCCUG
RNAcentral lists this long non-coding RNA (904 nucleotides) under Ictidomys tridecemlineatus (thirteen-lined ground squirrel). RNAcentral's name for it is "lncRNA (ENSSTOG00000020101.2)". The record is from RNAcentral. Lineage: Eukaryota; Metazoa; Chordata; Mammalia; Rodentia; Sciuridae.